Molecule: ribosomal RNA, 468 nt
Filed under: uncultured bacterium
Lineage: Bacteria
Description: partial 16S ribosomal RNA
Rfam family: Bacterial small subunit ribosomal RNA
Source: RNAcentral
GACGAACGCUGGCGGCGUGCUUAACACAUGCCAGUCGAACGGAAAGGCCCUGCUUUUGUGGGGUGCUCGAGUGGCGAACGGGUGAGUAACACGUGAGUAACCUGCCCUUGACUUUGGGAUAACUUCAGGAAACUGGGACUAAUACCGGAUAGGAGCUCCUGCUGCAUGGUGGGGGUUGGAAAGUUUCGGCGGUUGGGGAUGGACUCGCGGCUUAUCAGCUUGUUGGUGGGGUAGUGGCUUACCAAGGCUUUGACGGGUAGCCGGCCUGAGAGGGUGACCGGCCACAUUGGGACUGAGAUACGGCCCAGACUCAUACGGGAGGCAGCAGUGGGGAAUAUUGCACAAUGGGCGGAAGCCUGAUGCAGCAACGCCGCGUGCGGGAUGACGGCCUUCGGGUUGUAAACCGCUUUCGCCUGUGACGAAGCGUGAGUGACGGUAAUGGGUAAAGAAGCACCGGCUAACUACGUG